Non-coding RNA from Desulfamplus magnetovallimortis, 116 nucleotides. NCBI's taxonomy places the organism in Bacteria, Pseudomonadati, Thermodesulfobacteriota, Desulfobacteria, Desulfobacterales, Desulfobacteraceae. The record is from Rfam.
UAUGUUUAGACAACAACAUAAGGGGGAUGAAGCAUGCGUUGACAAGCGGCACUUGUCAGGGUGUGAAGCCUUCAGACAAUGUACCGGCUUCUGAUAGCCAUAAAUCGGAUGACCGG